RNAcentral lists this long non-coding RNA (477 nucleotides) under Bos indicus x Bos taurus (hybrid cattle). RNAcentral's name for it is "lncRNA (ENSBIXG00000028287.1)". Lineage: Eukaryota; Metazoa; Chordata; Mammalia; Artiodactyla; Bovidae. The record is from RNAcentral.
UGAGGCUUUGCCUGGAAGGAGGACAUUUGCUCAGACAAAUCUUUCCAGGUUGUAGCAGUAACUCCCUGGGAUAAAAUGUGUGGGGCCAGCUCACAGGUUUCUGGGAACUUGCCCAGGAUUUUCAGGGUCAAUUGGUGCUGCAGAGAAAAAUGAUGGAUUAUCCAGGGAGGUGUGAAUAGUGUCAAGAAACAUGAGCAGCUCUGCUGUGCUAUAUGAGGAGGACACUAAAACAAGGAGAUUAUAAUCCCUGCCUUAGAGAUGUCUCCAGCACAGAUCAUCAAAUAGAGGAAUGCUCCAUGUCUGGUGAAACAUACUCUCAAGAAGGAAAGGCCCUUCCGUCUAGAGAUUUGGUGGAAAACUUUCCGAAGUCUGACAUUUUGGUGUUAUGUCCUGAAAGGAUCAGAAAGAACAAAGACUCUAAUAUUGGAGUGAUGAUACAGGGAGUGGAGUUGAGAAGGCAAAACGGAAAAGUACCCC